This is a long non-coding RNA of Lotus japonicus, 2406 nucleotides long. RefSeq lists it as uncharacterized. The transcript has 5 exons. NCBI's taxonomy places the organism in Eukaryota, Viridiplantae, Streptophyta, Magnoliopsida, Fabales, Fabaceae. The record is from RefSeq and is a predicted model, not a curated record.
GAAGAUUGAGACAAGUAUUUGAAAAACAAUGAUCCUCUAAUUCAGGGGUGAGGUUGCAGCUAUGCAGUGGAGUUGAUGAAAAUGCAAUUGGGGCAUGUGCUCAGCUGGUGUUUGCACCAAUUGAUGAAUCAUUUGCUGAUGAUGCUCUCUUACUGCCUUCAGGCUUUCGUGUCAUCCCAUUGGAUCCUAAAACAGAUGGAUCAGCUGCGUCUAGGACAUUGGAUUUGGCAUCGACACUUGAAGUAGGUUCUGGUAAUACUCGUCCAGCUGGUGAAGCUGAUGGUUACAACCUUAGGUCGGUCCUCACAAUUGCAUUUCAAUUUACCUUCGAGAACCAUUUAAGGGACAAUGUUGCUGCUAAGGCCCGUCAGUAUGUGCGUAGUGUUGUGGGAUCAGUUCAGAGGGUUGCCAUGGCAAUUGCUCCCUCUCGAGUCAGCACCCAGAUGGGCCCGAAACCACUUCCUGGUUCACCAGAGGCUGUUACCUUGGUUCGUUGGAUCUGUAGAAGUUACAGGUUCUGGUUCCAUCAACACCUAAAUCUUUCAAAAGUCCCUAAAGUUUUGUCACUCCAUGAUAUCGAUUGAGGGUGCAAGCUGUCGUUUCAUGUUGUUAACACAGAUAAGUGUUUAUUGACAUGAUAUCUGCUACUUUUUUCUGGUAUGCACAAUUGCACAUGUUUAAUGAUUACUAAUAUUGGGUCAAAUAGGUGAUGUAUAAGGAUAGAUGCUAGCAUUGUUGAUAGGGAAAAGUGUGAUGAUAGUGUUGUUUUUUCAGCAGGCUUGAGGACCAUGGUGCAGCCAACAGCCAAGGGAGGGCUGACCUUAGAAAAGAACAUGAUGGUUGGGAAAUUCCAAGGGAUAAUUUGCCCAACUACAUUAAUUAGUUCCUUCAGCUGCUAAUUCUUCGAUGUUUACUGUUCAGAUAGCUCUUUCCACUUUUAUAAUAAAGCUACUAACUCCAUUCUUCUCUUCCUCUAAUUUAAAAAUUAGAUACCUAAUACCUCACCAACUCUAAUACAGUAUAGUGAUCAUAUCUAUUAGUGUACAUAUGAAACCUUUCAACUAAAAAAGAUUCUACAACCCAUUUAUUCUCAAAAAAAUGUGCAUAAAUUAUCACUUUACAGUUCACUGGAGAGAUUCAGACCAAUUGGACAUGUUGCCGUGUCCAUUAACCAAAGUGAAUAAUUUGUUGUUCUACCUAUUAGUGAUUUAGUUGUAGCUUCAUUAAUUGUACUCACCUAAUGCUUGAUAUGGAGAUUUUCUCAUAUAAUGUUAGGACUUAGGACUUGAUAUCGUAUUUGGGCUGUGAUUCUUCAAUAUUUCCCACUUGAUCUAUUUGAGUUUUGAAAUUGGAUUUAUCUCUUAUGUUAUAGUUAAUAUUUGACCCUUAUUCCAUUUUUCUAUCUUACAUUUAGAGGUUGUCAUCGGUUUUUUUGUGUAGUUACUAUGCAUCAGUACACCUUAAGAAGUUCUAAGUCUAAGCAACAGAUUUUUGCCAGAGUAUUUCAUCCGGAUGAGGUGUAUAUUGUUGUACCAAGACAAUUCUUGAAUGAUUUUGAAGAAAGUCUCUCUAAAUAUGUUGAAUUAGUGGAUCCUGUAGGGAAUAAAUUCUGUUUUAGCUUUUAUUUUGAUCGUGAUGAACCAAGAUUUGGUGCUAAUAUUUCAGAGUUACGAACUGUGCACCAAAUACAGGGAAGUGUGAUAAUUUGUUUUAUUUAUCUGGGUGAUAGUAGAUUUGACAUCCAAAUUAGUGAUCUGAACUUGUUUGAGAUUGAGUAUAGGAAAAGAACUGCUCAUGUUGCAGCUAAUGUUGCCAGUUCAAGUCAUAUGAAUUUUCAUGAAGUAGAUGGUUCGGUUAUAAAUUUAAUUAGUGAUGAUGAUUCUGAGAAUGAAGUUGAAGAUAUUGUGAAUUAGGAGAUGUUAAUUUGGUCAGUUGAUCUCACUGCUGAUCUCAUUAUUCCCCGUCAUCAUCUGAUUAUUCCUGAUUAUAUUCAGGAAAAGGUUUUCAACGACAUGAGUCCAGAAAUCAAUGUACUUCUUCCAGAUGGUUCUUGGACUAGAUGAGAAAUCGUCUGGUACUCACUUAGUGAGGGGAUAAGUGAAUCUGGGAGUAUGGGUGCCAUUUUUGGGCGGUGGUAUGAGUUCUAUAAGGAAACAUUUUUCAGACUUGGAAAUUCCGUUGCAAGACACAAGAUGCAGCUAUGGAAAAUGGUUCUUCUCAAUUUUUACAGAGUUGCUGUUUUGACGGAGUAAUUUAACAUCAAAAGUUACAUCUUUUUGUUCUUUUUUUGUACUACAUAAUAUAACAUGAUGUGGUUGUAAACAUCACUUGAACGGUGCUACUUUAUUUGUUCACUGUGAAUGGUUGUUUAUUUUGUCUAUAACUAUAUCAUUUUUUUUUACCUUA